This 128-nucleotide ribosomal RNA is filed under the name Weissella confusa. The record is from RNAcentral. Lineage: Bacteria; Bacillati; Bacillota; Bacilli; Lactobacillales; Lactobacillaceae.
UCGUGAUGAUGGCAUUGAGGUCACACCUGUUCCCCACACCUGUUCCCAUACCGAACACAGAAGUUAAGCUCAGUAGCGCCGAAAGUAGUUGGAGGAUCGCUUCCUGCGAGGAUAGGACGUCGCUAUGC